RNAcentral lists this transfer RNA (84 nucleotides) under Trichobilharzia regenti. RNAcentral's name for it is "tRNA-Lys". Lineage: Eukaryota; Metazoa; Platyhelminthes; Trematoda; Strigeidida; Schistosomatidae. The record is from RNAcentral.
CUAAAGAUAGCUUAAUUUUUUUAUAGUUUAAAGUAGAGGAUUCUUGAUCCUUUGAUGUCACGGUGUAUUUAUGGACUCUUUAGG